GUCUACAGCCAUGCUACCCUGAACAAGCCCAAUCCCAUCUGAUCUUGGAAGCUAAGCAGGGUCGGGCCUGGUUAGUACUUGGAUGGAGACCACCUAGGAAGACCAGGUGCUAUAGGCG
This 118-nucleotide ribosomal RNA is filed under the name Pteropus alecto (black flying fox). Lineage: Eukaryota; Metazoa; Chordata; Mammalia; Chiroptera; Pteropodidae. The record is from RNAcentral.